Molecule: ribosomal RNA, 968 nt
Filed under: uncultured bacterium
Lineage: Bacteria
Description: bacterial SSU rRNA
Rfam family: Bacterial small subunit ribosomal RNA
Source: RNAcentral
ACCCUGGCGGCGAGUGGCGGACGGGUGAGGAAUGCAUAGGAAUCUGCCCGGUUGUGGGGGAUAACGUAGGGAAACUUACGCUAAUACCGCAUACGACCUUCGGGUGAAAGUGGGGGACCUUCGGGCCUCACGCGAUUGGAUGAACCCAGGUGGGAUUAGCUAGUUGGUGAGGUAAUGGCUCACCAAGGCUACGAUCCGUAGCUGGUCUGAGAGGACGACCAGCCACACUGGGACUGAGACACGGCCCAGACUCCUACGGGAGGCUGCAGUGGGGAAUAUUGGACAAUGGGCGCAAGCCUGAUCCAGCCAUGCCGCGUGAGUGAUGAAGGCCUUAGGGUUGUAAUGCUCUUUUAGCGGGGAAGAUAAUGACGGUACCCGCAGAAUAAGCCCCGGCUAACUUCGUGCCAGCAGCCGCGGUAAUACGAAGGGGGCUAGCGUUGUUCGGAAUUACUGGGCGUAAAGCGCACGCAGGCGGCUUGUUAAGUCGGAUGUGAAAGCCCCGGGCUCAACCUGGGAAUUGCAUUCGAUACUGGCAAGCUAGAGUAUGUGAGAGGGGGGUAGAAUUCCAAGUGUAGCGGUGAAAUGCGUAGAGAUUUGGAGGAAUACCAGUGGCGAAGGCGGCCCCCUGGCACACUACUGACGCUCAGGUGCGAAAGCGUGGGGAGCAAACAGGAUUAGAUACCCCGGUAGUCCUAGCAGUAAACGGUGCACGUUUGGUGUGGGGGGAUUCGACCCCUUCCGCGCCGGAGCUAACGCGUUAAGCGCGCCGCCUGGGGAGUACGGUCGCAAGAUUAAAACUCAAAGAAAUUGACGGGGACCCGCACAAGCGGUGGAGCAUGUGGCUUAAUUCGAUGCAACGCGAAGAACCUUACCUGGCCUUGACAUGUCUGGAAUCCCUAAGAGAUUGGGGGAGUGCCUUCGGGAAUCAGAACACAGGUGCUGCAUGGCUGUCGUCAGCUCGUGUCGUG